Molecule: long non-coding RNA, 273 nt
Filed under: Elaeis guineensis (African oil palm)
Lineage: Eukaryota; Viridiplantae; Streptophyta; Magnoliopsida; Arecales; Arecaceae
Description: long non-coding RNA (EGUI_LNC079484)
Source: RNAcentral
AAGUUCCACGCAACAAAGUUGUGUGCAAGUUCCAUGCAAUCCAUAUUUUUCAGACAAGCAUUUUGUGACCAAUUAAAGUUCUAUGCAAUCCAUUAUAGCGAUCCAAUCCAUGACAAACCUUAUGGGAGUGUGGGACAGCAGAUGCUUCGGCCAUUUUCGUCCUUAUGCUGGCUCAGCACGAAGUUGCUAUCAUUCAUGUUUAUUUGAUGCAACCCUUGAUAGCCAGGUGGGAGGUGGUUGUCUCUUCUAUUGUUUGCUGCUAUCCGGCUCGAA